This 537-nucleotide long non-coding RNA is filed under the name Mytilus galloprovincialis (Mediterranean mussel). Lineage: Eukaryota; Metazoa; Mollusca; Bivalvia; Mytilida; Mytilidae. The record is from RNAcentral.
GCGCGGCGCUUCCCUCAAGCUGGGCUUUAAGAUAGUUAAACUUUUGGAUUGGCGUUAAUGUGUCGUUGUAGUGUAUAGAUGACUCGAAACAAUCCCAAAAUGUCUGCCACUUGAGAAUAUCUCCAUUAAAAUAGGGUAAGUCUAACUUUGGAAGCCUAUGGUAAUUAGUUUUUGAAGAUCUCGGUUCUGACGGGACUUGAAACAUGACAUUCUCUGACGGACGGGUAUGCACUGCAGGGGCGUUAAUUGAAUACUGCUGGUUCAUAGAAUCUAUUGCACAUCUGUUCAUAUCAACUCUAGCUUCGGGUGUGAAAUUAUAUGCGUCUGGGUUAAGUCUGCUCGUUGAAGGACCAACAGUAUCAUGCGAAAUUAUAGUAUUUGUUUCAAAGGACUUAAUAAAUUUCCGAAUUUGUCUAAUUUUGCAAUCAAGUUCGUACAUAUACUCAUCUGAGUCGGUGAUUUCCUGCUCCAGAUUUUCCUCCGAUGUCUGUUCCAAAAGUCUGUUAUUCAGGUCAAUCAAUGUUUUCUGUUUCUGCG